Acromyrmex echinatior (Panamanian leafcutter ant) is the source of this 687-nucleotide long non-coding RNA. NCBI's taxonomy places the organism in Eukaryota, Metazoa, Arthropoda, Insecta, Hymenoptera, Formicidae. The record is from RefSeq and is a predicted model, not a curated record.
CGCGAUUUCACGCUUUUCCGAUUCGGGCAGGGGGCAGGGGUACGUCCUGUCAUUUUAACGUUGAAAAAGUUCGCACUAUUCGCAGCCCUGUCCUCGAAUCAAGUGACUUUUCUCCACAUUCUAAUCUUUGCUAAAUAUAAAACGACGUUGGAAAAGUUCGCAGCCUUGUCUUCGAAUCGAUUGUGACUUUUUCUCCAUAUUCUAAUCUGCUGAAUAUAAACGACGAGAAACGGCAUGAAAGGAUCGUUCAUCGUUGGAUUUCUUUACUAAGAAUGUGACGAAUACGAGAUGGCUCCAAAUGAAUGCUGUUGCGACUUAUUGAAUUGCUGAUAGAUGCUGUCACAAACCAAACAAUGGGAAGAGAAGAGAGGUGAAAAGCAGACUUGACAAUUCUGUGAGGAGGAGGAGGCUCAGACAAAGCAUGGAUCAACUUUGCGAAUCAUGUAACCACAUAGCUGAUAACUGCUGCGCAUCAAUCAGUCUUCCUUCUUCUUUUAUUGGUACGUGUAGCUACUUCGGCUGCGAUCAAGCCAUUAGUCAGUUGGUGCAGUAAAAUAUAAUGGAGACUUUGCACGGCUCUGUACUGAGAGAUCGGAGCAUCGGUCGGUGAGUGACAAAGAUUUUAUCAGGUAACGAAUCUGUAUAAAAUGUAAAAUGUGUAAAAUUAUAUUAGAAAUGAAUAUAACG